AAUGAGGUGAGUUGUUUUCUCUACUAAUCAGAAACUGCUGGUAUUUUUCUAGCUUGAAAUGUGUACAUGUUAAUGUGGGUAAGCUGAAUAGUAAGACUUUGAUAAUCAUUUUGUUUUUAGAGUUUCUGUCGACCUGUGUGUUCUCUGCAUACAGUUUUGAAACAGUAGAGUAGAAUUCAAAUUACUUCAGUGUAGUUUUGAAAAGUAAAUGCCCAUUUUUAACAUUAGCCCCAUUUAUUGUCCUAUUUUUGUAUAAAGCCUCAUUAUAAUGCCUUGGAAAUGCAAGUACUGCCCUGUCAUCUGUGAGAAGAGAACACAGCUUAUCAAACAUUGUCAGCUAAAACAUGGAACUUCUGCCAGAACUGAACUCUUUCUUGCUUAUACCAGGAAUGUAUGUGUACAUUUAAGUCUCUCAAUGCACUCCAUAGCUAUUUAUUCUGCUUUCACAUCAUAAAUGUGGGUCAAAUGCAAACUGUAGACUCUACAAUUAAGUUUUGCUGUUUGUCAUGGUAAUUUUUUCUCAUGACAAAUGUAUUUUUUUCAUAUUUUUCAGGUUUACUUGGAGUUUAACAGGGUUGAAAUCUUCAAGAAAAAUUCUUUCUAAUUUCAUGGAAAUCUUCAAGAGGAAGAUGGUUCAGAGAGGCAAGCAGUUAGCUGACCUGCUACAACAGACAACGAGCACUGAGCCAACAGCCAUUAGAAGCCUUGUCCUGAGAGGACUUCCAGUCAUUCUUAGGGACGAUGCAUCCAUGUUCUUUCAGAGCAAUUUGAAUCUUAAUGAGGGAGACUCUGUGGACAUUCCAGUGGCAUUACUCUGCUAUGAGGACAACAGCGCUGCAAGCCCAGCAUCACCACAACUAUUCCCUUCAUGAGUGGGAAUCAUCCUAGAGGGCAGCCCUGUAAUGGACACACUCACCAACCUACCUCAAGCAAUGUGCCUCUUGUUUGGCUUUACCUCCACACUCCACCUGCACUACACCUUUACCUUCAUUCAGCAGGUCAUCAUAAAUUCAGCCUCCAAAGACUCAAAAGCUGAAGAAUGAGCUUGCAGUGCAAGGUGCAACUCUUCAAGCCCAUGUCUGGAUUAUUGCACAGUUAUAUUCACUGACUGAAACAAAUAUUCAUGCUGUUGUUCAUUUUGUAUGUGAUUCCUCUUGUACAAGAUGCAUCUAGUAUUGUUUAUUUUACUAAAAUGAAUCCACAGAGGACAUAUUUUAGAAAGUUGCAGUUUUUUUUAACCCAUUCUUGUCCUCACUGCAUGUUCUUAUUGCUGCUGUUCUUAAUGCCUGUUUGUUAUGUCGCACACAAAGCAUACAGGCUUUUCCUUGUGUACUUGCAGUACAGUGUCAAGUCCACCUCUCUUUCCCUCCAAAGGACGCGAGGACAACUCAAUUUAAAUUUCCAACUCAAAACUUUAUUUUCCUUCUAGUUGGUUGGUCAGAGUAUUUCAAUGGGUUGUAAACCUUUAAAGACAGAGAAACAACAUUCAUAACAUCAAAUACAGAACCAAAAAGUUGACAUAUUAGUCUCUUAACCAUUUAAAUCAACCAAUCAUGCAGUGCAGUUAACAUAAACUUGGCCAUAUAAAGAAACAUUUCAAAUCACCAAAAAAAGCAAAUAAACAUUUCACCAACCAUUGGCGUCUUUGGACUGAAUCCAUGAGUGGACUUGGAUCUUCUUUGUUCUUCCCUCGUGUUUCUCUUCUGAAGAUUGUUUGCCAGACUGGCUGAGCUUCCCCCAGUCCUUCCCAGGUGCUCUAACUCAGUGAACACUGAUCAGGUGUCAAGCACCAGGUGUCAGGUCCCUCCUUGCUGCUACCAGUACAUUCUGGGAAGUGUAGUUUUUUAGGUCCCAUGUCUUCAGAUUCAGCUCAACAGUACAGUAUGCUGCUACAUGAUCAGUGUUUUUUUUCUUCCAAACAGACAAACAAACAGAGCAAACAACUAAAAAACUGUGCUGUCUAUUUGGAAGGAAACUGUUUCAUAACACGUUUUUUGUGUGUUUUGUUUUGUUUUUUUGCGGUAACAUAGAAGGGUUCUGUAAUACGUUAAUAGCAAAAAAUUAAGAUUAUACUGUUGAAACUAUUGACAAAAAUUAAUUUUGGUAAUUUUAUGAAACAAGGUCU
Amphiprion ocellaris (clown anemonefish) is the source of this 2125-nucleotide long non-coding RNA. RefSeq lists it as uncharacterized. The transcript is spliced from 3 exons. NCBI's taxonomy places the organism in Eukaryota, Metazoa, Chordata, Actinopteri, Pomacentridae. The record is from RefSeq and is a predicted model, not a curated record.